This 411-nucleotide ribosomal RNA is filed under the name Bemisia tabaci. Its description in RNAcentral is "partial 16S ribosomal RNA". Lineage: Eukaryota; Metazoa; Arthropoda; Insecta; Hemiptera; Aleyrodidae. The record is from RNAcentral.
UUUUAGAUAAGUUCUGCUCAAUGAAAAUGUUAAAUAGCUGCAGUAAAUUAACUGUACUAAGGUAGCAUAAUAAAUUGCUUUAUAAUUGAAAGCUUGAAUGAAAGAAAGCAUGUGAAACAAACUUUUUAAGAUAAAAUAGUAAAAAUUAAUAUUUAAGUGAAAAAUCUUAAAUAAUAUCAAAAGACAAGAAGACCCUUUAGAAUUUUACAACCUUAAUCAACUAAAAUGAUCCUGGUUGUUAAAUUGGGGAGAUUUUUAAAUAAUUAUAUCUUUAGAUAAAUCAAAAUGAUAAAAAUCAAAUUAAAUUAUCCAAAUAUGAAAUAAAAUAAAUUACCUAAGGGAUAACAGCGUAAAAUUUUUGAGAAGACCCCAUUCACAAAAUAAAUUACGACCUCGAUGUUGGAUUAAGAA